UAUUGAAUAAACCUGAUGAGUUGUUGCUGGUCUUCCGAGAGCAUUGUGCACACUUGUCAUCUUUAUAUUUCCCCCCYGUGCAUCUUUUGUAGGUCUGGGUAAUCUCUCUGAGUGUUAACUCACUUAGGUUUUGGGUUUGACUUUUCUGUCUUUCCUUGCAUUUCCAGGACUAUGUUUCUAUCUAUAUACUCUAUGUAUGUUGUAGAAUGUCAUGAAAUGGCCUUGGUGCCUAUAAACAUUUACAACUUUCAGCAAUGGAUCUCUUGGCUCUCGCAUCGAUGAAGAACGCAGCGAAAUGCGAUAAGUAAUGUGAAUUGCAGAAUUCAGUGAAUSAUCGAAUCUUUGAACGCACCUUGCGCUCCUUGGUAUUCCGAGGAGCAUGCCUGUUUGAGUGUCAUUAAUAUAUAUAUCAACCUCAAAAGCUGAGUGUUGGAUGGUGGGGGUUAUUUUUUUUUGCUGGUCUUUUCUUCUAUAAGAUCAGCUCCCCUGAAAUAUAUUAGCGAAACAGUUUGUGGAACGUUUAUUGGUGUGAUAACUAUCUACGCUUAUUAACGUGAAGCAAAAGUUUAGCUUCUAAUAGUCCAUUGACUUGGACAAUUAUUUUAAUGUGACCUCAAAUCAGGUAGGACUACCCGCUGAACUUAAGCAUAUCAAUAAGCGGAGGAAAAGAANNCUAACCAGGAUUCCCCUAGUAACUGCGAGUGAAGCGGGAAAAGCGCAAAUUUAAAAUCUGGCAGUCUUUGAU
RNAcentral lists this ribosomal RNA (745 nucleotides) under uncultured Cortinariaceae. RNAcentral's name for it is "eukaryotic LSU rRNA". The stretch from base 244 to 397 matches the Rfam family "5.8S ribosomal RNA". The record is from RNAcentral. Lineage: Eukaryota; Fungi; Basidiomycota; Agaricomycetes; Agaricales; Cortinariaceae.